GGGCCCGUGGCGCAGAAUGGAUAGCGCGGCGGCCUCCUACUCCGCCGAUAGGGUUCAAGUCCCACCGGGCCCG
This 73-nucleotide transfer RNA is filed under the name Candidatus Caldarchaeum subterraneum. RNAcentral describes it as "Candidatus Caldiarchaeum subterraneum tRNA-Arg". It matches the Rfam family "tRNA". From Rfam's summary of the family: Transfer RNA (tRNA) molecules are approximately 80 nucleotides in length. Their secondary structure includes four short double-helical elements and three loops (D, anti-codon, and T loops). Further hydrogen bonds mediate the characteristic L-shaped molecular structure. tRNAs have two regions of fundamental functional importance: the anti-codon, which is responsible for specific mRNA codon recognition, and the 3' end, to which the tRNAs corresponding amino acid is attached (by aminoacyl-tRNA synthetases). tRNAs cope with the degeneracy of the genetic code in two manners: having more than one tRNA (with a specific anti-codon) for a particular amino acid; and 'wobble' base-pairing, i.e. permitting non-standard base-pairing at the 3rd anti-codon position. Lineage: Archaea; Thermoproteati; Nitrososphaerota; Candidatus Caldarchaeales; Candidatus Caldarchaeaceae. The record is from RNAcentral.